Drosophila ficusphila is the source of this 887-nucleotide long non-coding RNA. RefSeq lists it as uncharacterized. The transcript is spliced from 2 exons. The record is from RefSeq and is a predicted model, not a curated record. NCBI's taxonomy places the organism in Eukaryota, Metazoa, Arthropoda, Insecta, Diptera, Drosophilidae.
GCAGCUCUGCUGGAAAGUGUGCAAGGAAACCCGUAUUUGAUUUUCGCGGCGUAGGCUGUUGUUUUUGUUACGGUUGCUGCGCCGAUAAAUUGAAUCCUUUGAAAGCGAGACAAGUUAAUUUUUCAGCAGCAGGCGAACGACUGUCGAGCAGUUUUCGUUGGCGCCAGUGUGGCGGCGAAGUCGGAGUUGGCGUCGGCGUCGUGGAAAGGCCAGGAAAAUGCAUAUACAAAAGGACAUGGAACCUUUGGGGGCUGGCGGGGGCGGUGGCAGCACCCUCAAGUCGGAAGCGCGAAACAGACCAAAGAGAGUCGGAGAGAGUGGUUGUUGGAGAGUGGAGAGUGGUUGUUGUGGGGGUUGCAGUGCUUGACUCUGGCAGAACCACUCUACAGUUUAGCCGGACCUUACUUUUAAUCUUAAUACGUUUUUUGUUUCUGAAAAACUUGAUUUUAUCAUCGAAUUGGGCCUCGUUCUAAGCUUUCGAAACAUCGACCGAAUCAAUUUCGAAUUUCGAAAUCCGAAGCCUGCGCAGUGGGAAAUCGCGAGGCGUUGAAAGCGAUGAGGUGAGAGCAAUCGACUGGGAGAGCGGAAGCAGGCGCGAUGAGUCGCAUAAGUGCAUUCGGAAAACCGGCAUGUUACAGAAUGUAUUCCGGUCGAAUACCACUUUUAACCAAAAGCUAAACAAUAACAUUUCAUUUUUGGACACAACAGCAGGAAAGCAAAUUUCUAUAAUAAUUUUCUUUAAAAAAAAAUUUCUUCUCUUUACUUUUAUUAAACCUAUUCGGUUCACUUUGUAUUUCAUCAAAAUCUAUCAUCAUAACAUGACGAAGAGCAACCAAAAAUAAUAAUUGUGUCAAAUAAAUACAAACAUAAAUAUUGAAUACCUCGUA